RNAcentral lists this signal recognition particle RNA (98 nucleotides) under Magnetococcales bacterium. Its description in RNAcentral is "signal recognition particle sRNA small type". It matches the Rfam family "Bacterial small signal recognition particle RNA". From Rfam's summary of the family: The signal recognition particle (SRP) is a universally conserved ribonucleoprotein involved in the co-translational targeting of proteins to membranes. Archaeal SRP consists of a 7S RNA and homologues of the eukaryotic SRP19 and SRP54 proteins. Lineage: Bacteria; Pseudomonadati; Pseudomonadota; Magnetococcia; Magnetococcales. The record is from RNAcentral.
GGCCAGGCCCUUCGCGACGAAAAACCGUAAACCCCGCCAGGACCGGAAGGUAGCAACGGUAGCGGAUCUUUUCGGGUGCCGUUGGUCUCCUGGCCGGA